This 1454-nucleotide ribosomal RNA is filed under the name metagenome. Its description in RNAcentral is "bacterial SSU rRNA". It matches the Rfam family "Bacterial small subunit ribosomal RNA". The record is from RNAcentral.
AGAGUUUGGUCCUGGCUCAGGAUGAACGCUGGCGGCGUGCCUAACACAUGCAAGUCGAGCGAUUCUCUUCGGAGAAGAGCGGCGGACGGGUGAGUAACGCGUGGGUAACCUGCCCUGUACACACGGAUAACAUACCGAAAGGUAUGCUAAUACGGGAUAACAUAAGAAAUUCGCAUGUUUUUCUUAUCAAAGCUCCGGCGGUACAGGAUGGACCCGCGUCUGAUUAGCUAGUUGGUGAGGUAACGGCUCACCAAGGCGACGAUCAGUAGCCGACCUGAGAGGGUGAUCGGCCACAUUGGAACUGAGACACGGUCCAAACUCCUACGGGAGGCAGCAGUGGGGAAUAUUGCACAAUGGGCGAAAGCCUGAUGCAGCAACGCCGCGUGAGCGAUGAAGGCCUUCGGGUCGUAAAGCUCUGUCCUCAAGGAAGAUAAUGACGGUACUUGAGGAGGAAGCCCCGGCUAACUACGUGCCAGCAGCCGCGGUAAUACGUAGGGGGCUAGCGUUGUCCGGAAUUACUGGGUGUAAAGGGAGCGCAGGCGGGCGAUCAAGUUGGAAGUGAAAUCCAUGGGCUCAACCCAUGAACUGCUUUCAAAACUGAAUGUCUUGAGUAGUGCAGAGGUAGGCGGAAUUCCCGGUGUAGCGGUGGAAUGCGUAGAUAUCGGGAGGAACACCAGUGGCGAAGGCGGCCUACUGGGCACCAACUGACGCUGAGGCUCGAAAGUGUGGGUAGCAAACAGGAUUAGAUACCCUGGUAGUCCACACCGUAAACGAUGAUUACUAGGUGUUGGAGGAUUGACCCCUUCAGUGCCGCAGUUAACACAAUAAGUAAUCCACCUGGGGAGUACGACCGCAAGGUUGAAACUCAAAGGAAUUGACGGGGGCCCGCACAAGCAGUGGAGUAUGUGGUUUAAUUCGACGCAACGCGAAGAACCUUACCAAGUCUUGACAUCCUGCGACGAUGCUAGAAAUAGUAUUUUCCUUCGGGACGCAGAGACAGGUGGUGCAUGGUUGUCGUCAGCUCGUGUCGUGAGAUGUUGGGUUAAGUCCCGCAACGAGCGCAACCCUUAUGGUCAGUUACUACGCAAGAGGACUCUGGCCAGACUGCCGUUGACAAAACGGAGGAAGGUGGGGAUGACGUCAAAUCAUCAUGCCCUUUAUGACUUGGGCUACACACGUACUACAAUGGCGUUAAACAAAGAGAAGCAAGACCGCGAGGUGGAGCAAAACUCAGAAACAACGUCCAGUUCGGACUGCAGGCUGCAACUCGCCUGCACGAAGUCGGAAUUGCUAGUAAUCGUGGAUCAGCAUGCCACGGUGAAUACGUUCCCGGGCCUUGUACACACCGCCCGUCACACCAUGAGAGCCGGGGGGACCCGAAGUCGGUAGUCUAACCGCAAGGAGGACGCCGCCGAAGGUAAAACUGGUGAUUGGGGUGAAGUCGUAACAAGGUA